This 253-nucleotide ribosomal RNA is filed under the name uncultured bacterium. RNAcentral's name for it is "partial 16S ribosomal RNA". It matches the Rfam family "Bacterial small subunit ribosomal RNA", at positions 524 to 776 of the family's 1533-position model. The record is from RNAcentral.
UACGGGGGGGGCAAGCGUUGUUCGGAAUUACUGGGCGUAAAGGGCUUGUAGGUGGCCAACUAAGUCAGACGUGAAAUCCCUCGGCUUAACCGGGGAACUGCGUCUGAUACUGGAUGGCUUGAGUGUGGGAGAGGGAUGCGGAAUUCCAGGUGUAGCGGUGAAAUGCGUAGAUAUCGUAAGGAAGACCAGUGGCGAAGGCGGGUCUCUGGACAGUUCCUGACGCUGAGGCACGAAGGCCAGGGGAGCAAACGGG